This 253-nucleotide ribosomal RNA is filed under the name uncultured bacterium. RNAcentral's name for it is "partial 16S ribosomal RNA". It matches the Rfam family "Bacterial small subunit ribosomal RNA", at positions 524 to 776 of the family's 1533-position model. The record is from RNAcentral.
UACAGAGGGUGCGAGCGUUAAUCGGAAUUACUGGGCGUAAAGGGCGCGUAGGCGGUCUAUCAAGUGAGAUGUGAAAUCCCCGGGCUUAACCUGGGAACUGCAUCUUAAACUGAUGGGCUGGAGUACUGUAGAGGAUAGUGGAAUUUCCGGUGUAGCGGUGAAAUGCGUAGAGAUCGGAAGGAACAUCAGUGGCGAAGGCGACUGUCUGGACAGAUACUGACGCUGAGGCGCGAAAGCUAGGGUAGCAAACGGG